UACAUGCAAGUCGAGCGGACCGACGGGAGCUUGCUCCCUUAGGUCAGCGGCGGACGGGUGAGUAACACGUGGGUAACCUGCCUGUAAGACUGGGAUAACUCCGGGAAACCGGGGCUAAUACCGGAUGCUUGAUUGAACCGCAUGGUUCAAUCAUAAAAGGUGGCUUUUAGCUACCACUUACAGAUGGACCCGCGGCGCAUUAGCUAGUUGGUGAGGUAACGGCUCACCAAGGCGACGAUGCGUAGCCGACCUGAGAGGGUGAUCGGCCACACUGGGACUGAGACACGGCCCAGACUCCUACGGGAGGCAGCAGUAGGGAAUCUUCCGCAAUGGACGAAAGUCUGACGGAGCAACGCCGCGUGAGUGAUGAAGGUUUUCGGAUCGUAAAACUCUGUUGUUAGGGAAGAACAAGUACCGUUCGAAUAGGGCGGUACCUUGACGGUACCUAACCAGAAAGCCACGGCUAACUACGUGCCAGCAGCCGCGGUAAUACGUAGGUGGCAAGCGUUGUCCGGAAUUAUUGGGCGUAAAGCGCGCGCAGGCGGUUUCUUAAGUCUGAUGUGAAAGCCCCCGGCUCAACCGGGGAGGGUCAUUGGAAACUGGGGAACUUG
RNAcentral lists this ribosomal RNA (611 nucleotides) under bacterium xpnta629lb78onnp9.24. RNAcentral describes it as "bacterial SSU rRNA". It matches the Rfam family "Bacterial small subunit ribosomal RNA", at positions 52 to 644 of the family's 1533-position model. The record is from RNAcentral.